This 157-nucleotide non-coding RNA is filed under the name pig gut metagenome. The record is from RNAcentral.
UCUAGGUUUCAAGCGAUUGAAUUAAAAAGGAACACAUGUGAAAGACAUGGGCUGCCCCAGCAACUGUAAUGCUGACGAGAUUAUAUAUAUGCCAUUGGGAAACUGAGAAGGCUUAAUCGAGGAUGAUGCAAAGCCAGGAGACUUGCCUGAAUAAUUU